CGGGUCCUCCAUAUGCUGAGCGCCGGUCCCCUGGGCCCACUUUUCUUUCUCUAUACUUUGUCUCUGUUGUCUUUCUUUUCUCAAGUCUCUCGUUCCACCUGAGGAGAAAUGCCCACAGCUGUGGAGGCGCAGGCCACUCCAUCUGGUGCCCAACGUGGAUGCUUUUCUCUAGGGUGAAGGGACUCUCGAGUGUGGUCAUUGAGGACAAGUCAACGAGAGAUUCCCGAGUACGUCUACAGUGAGCCUUGUGGGUGAAGGUACUCUACAGUGUGGUCAUUGAGGACAAGUUGACGAGAGAGUCCCAAGUACGUCCACGGUCAGCCUUGCGGAGAAAAUCAGCUUCCUGUUUGGAUACCCACUAGACAUUUAAAGUUCUACAAUGAACUCACUGGAGAUGCAAAGAAAAGUGUGGAGAUGGAGACACCCCAAUCGACUCGCCAGUCUACAGGUGUAUCCAGCAGCUCCAAAGAGACAGCAACCAGCAAGAAUGGGCCAUAGUGACGAUGGUGGUUUUGUCAAAAAGAAAAGGGGGGGAUAUGUAAGGAAAAGAGAGAUCAGACUUUCACUGUGUCUAUGUAGAAAAGGAAGACAUAAGAAACUCCAUUUUGAUCUGUACUAAGAAAAAUUGUUUUGCCUUGAGAUGCUGUUAAUCUGUAACUUUAGCCCCAACCCUGUGCUCACGGAAACAUGUGCUGUAAGGUUUAAGGGAUCUAGGGCUGUGCAGGAUGUACCUUGUUAACAAUAUGUUUGCAGGCAGUAUGUUUGGUAAAAGUCAUCGCCAUUCUCCAUUCUCGAUUAACCAGGGGCUCAAUGCACUGUGGAAAGCCACAGGAACCUCUGCCCAAGAAAGCCUGGCUGUUGUGGGAAGUCAGGGACCCCGAAUGGAGGGACCAGCUGGUGCUGCAUCAGGAAACAUAAAUUGUGAAGAUUUCUUGGACAUUUAUCAGUUUCCAAAAUUAAUACUUUUAUAAUUUCUUACACCUGUCUUACUUUAAUCUCUUAAUCCUGUUAUCUUUGUAAGCUGAGGAUAUACGUCACCUCAGGACCACUAUUGUACAAAUUGAUUGUAAAACAUGUUCACAUGUGUUUGAACAAUAUGAAAUCAGUGCACCUUGAAAAUGAACAGAAUAACAGUGAUUUUAGGGAACAAAGGAAGACAACCAUAAGGUCUGACUGCCUGAGGGGUCGGGCAAAAAGCCAUAUUUUUCUUCUUGCAGAGAGCCUAUAAAUGGACGUGCAAGUAGGAGAGAUAUUGCUAAAUUCUUUUCCUAGCAAGGAAUAUAAUACUAAGACCCUAGGGAAAGAAUUGCAUUCCUGGGGGGAGGUCUAUAAACGGCCGCUCUGGGAGUGUCUGUCCUAUGUGGUUGAGAUAAGGACUGAGAUACGCCCUGGUCUCCUGCAGUACCCUCAGGCUUACUAGGAUUGGGAAACCCCAGUCCUGGUAAAUUUGAGGUCAGGCCGGUUCUUUGCUCUGAACCCUGUUUUCUGUUAAGAUGUUUAUCAAGACAAUACAUGCACCGCUGAACAUAGACCCUUAUCAGGAGUUUCUGAUUUUGCUCUGGUCCUGUUUCUUCAGAAGCAUGUCAUCUUUGCUCUGCCUUCUGCCCUUUGAAGCAUGUGAUCUUUGUGACCUACUCCCUGUUCAUACACCCCUCCCCUUUUAAAAUCCCUAAUAAAAACUUGCUGGUUUUGUGGCUCAGGGGGGCAUCAUGGACCUACCAAUACGUGAUGUCACCCCCGGUGGCCCAGCUGUAAAAUUCCUUUCUUUAUACUCUUAUUUCUCAGACCAGCUGACACUUAGGGAAAAUAGAAAGAACCUAUG
RNAcentral lists this long non-coding RNA (1822 nucleotides) under Homo sapiens (human). RNAcentral's name for it is "HSALNT0405154". Lineage: Eukaryota; Metazoa; Chordata; Mammalia; Primates; Hominidae. The record is from RNAcentral.